This 217-nucleotide unclassified non-coding RNA is filed under the name Phaenna spinifera. Its description in RNAcentral is "partial ITS2". The record is from RNAcentral. Lineage: Eukaryota; Metazoa; Arthropoda; Copepoda; Calanoida; Phaennidae.
CAUAUCUGGCUCAGGGUCGGUUAAACAUCCAUCAGACUGUUUGUGCAGUUUGCAUUGGGCUCACACUUCUUUUGAAGUGGUGCCUUAAAAUAUACUGUGCAGAGUUUGCAACAACUCAACUCUUGGACCUAAACAGUCUGGGUUGGCCCGUCUGCAGCCUGUACUGGUACGGUGUCAGUGCUCUCUGGCCUGCCUGGUGCACCACCAAACUAAACUU